Etheostoma spectabile (orangethroat darter) is the source of this 82-nucleotide long non-coding RNA. RefSeq lists it as uncharacterized. Lineage: Eukaryota; Metazoa; Chordata; Actinopteri; Perciformes; Percidae. The transcript is spliced from 3 exons. The record is from RefSeq and is a predicted model, not a curated record.
GCACGACCAAUCCCAGUUGUUGCGGUCUGCGUUGCAGCGACGUGUAGUUACAUUUUUGGAGAGGUGUAAGUCAUGCUACGGU